CGCUCUAGACUAGUGGAUCCCCCGGGCUGCAGCCCAAUGUGGAAUUCGCCCUACGCCCUCGGGGCGCGGCGGGCGGGGCGGGGGCACGGGGGGCCUACGGGAGGCAGCAGUGGGGAAUCUUCCGCAAUGGACGAAAGUCUGACGGAGCAACGCCGCGUGAGGGAAGAAGGCCUUCGGAUCGUA
This 183-nucleotide ribosomal RNA is filed under the name uncultured bacterium. RNAcentral describes it as "partial 16S ribosomal RNA". It matches the Rfam family "Bacterial small subunit ribosomal RNA", at positions 265 to 427 of the family's 1533-position model. The record is from RNAcentral.